This 469-nucleotide ribosomal RNA is filed under the name uncultured bacterium. RNAcentral describes it as "partial 16S ribosomal RNA". It matches the Rfam family "Bacterial small subunit ribosomal RNA", at positions 28 to 508 of the family's 1533-position model. The record is from RNAcentral.
GACGAACGCUGGCGGCGUGCUUAACACAUGCAAGUCGAACGGAAAGGCCCUGCUUUUGUGGGGUGCUCGAGUGGCGAACGGGUGAGUAACACGUGAGUAACCUGCCCUUGACUUUGGGAUAACUUCAGGAAACUGGGGCUAAUACCGGAUAGGAGCUCCUGCUGCAUGGUGGGGGUUGGAAAGUUUCGGCGGUUGGGGAUGGACUCGCGGCUUAUCAGCUUGUUGGUGGGGUAGUGGCUUACCAAGGCUUUGACGGGUAGCCGGCCUGAGAGGGUGACCGGCCACAUUGGGACUGAGAUACGGCCCAGACUCCGACGGGAGGCAGCAGUGGGGAAUAUUGCACAAGGGGCGGAAGCCUGAUGCAGCAACGCCGCGUGCGGGAUGACGGCCUUCGGGUUGGAAACCGCUUUCGCCUGUGACGAAGCGUGAGUGACGGUAAUGGGUAAAGAAGCACCGGCUAACUACGUGC